This is a long non-coding RNA of Carassius auratus (goldfish), 718 nucleotides long. RefSeq lists it as uncharacterized. Lineage: Eukaryota; Metazoa; Chordata; Actinopteri; Cypriniformes; Cyprinidae. The record is from RefSeq and is a predicted model, not a curated record. The transcript is spliced from 2 exons.
UUUGUAAGCUAUGAUUUGUGCAUACUUGUUUCUUAUUUUAGAAUUGAGCGUCUGUGGUGUGAUGUUUGGUCAGCCGUCUCUUGUAAAUAUUAUGAAGUCCUGCAUACAAUGGAAGAAGAGCGAGUGCUUGAUCUAUCCGAUGAGCUGCACCUCUUUUGUGUGCACUAUGCAAUUCUUCCACGGUUGAAAUCGGACCUGAAGGGCUUCACGGGGAGCUGGAACAACCAUCCGAUCAGAACAGAGGGAAAUCUUUCACCAGAACAGCUUUGGUACAUCGGAAUGUUACAGACACCAGUGGAUGAGCCAGAUAUAGAGGUGGUGGAGCAACUUUUUCGAGAGGAAACUGCUGAUACUGACCCAGAGGAUGGUGUGGUGGUGCCAGAGAUCCAUUGCCCUUUUUCUGACCAAAAACUUGCCGUUCUGCGUGGAUUAAUUAAUCCCUUGACAUCACCAUUGAAUGACAGGGAGCUCUAUGUCCAGACACUUUCUAUCAUCAAAAGAUUGUGCUCUAUUUAACAUUUAAAUGUUUAAGUAAAACACUCAGAAGUACACAUGCAGUUCUGUCAGAAUUUUAAUUAAAGAAAUUCAGUUAUUUGCCAGUAAAACAUUUAAUUUUAUACAAUGCUGUAAAACAUGUAACCAUUCAAAGCAUGUGAAGUUAUGAACACGUUGAACAUUGUAUCUCUGAACUUUAAAGAUUAAAUUAAAACUAUUGAGA